GUGCUCGCUUCGUCAGCACAUAUACUAAAAUUGGAACGAUACAGAGAUUAGCAUGGCCCCUGCGCAAAGAUGACAUGCAAAUUUGUGAAGCGUUCCAUAAAAAG
This 104-nucleotide small nuclear RNA is filed under the name Echinops telfairi (small Madagascar hedgehog). Lineage: Eukaryota; Metazoa; Chordata; Mammalia; Afrosoricida; Tenrecidae. The record is from RNAcentral.